UGAGGAAUAUUGGUCAAUGGGCGAGAGCCUGAACCAGCCAAGUCGCGUGAAGGAAGACAGUCCUAAGGAUUGUAAACUUCUUUUAUACGGGAAUAACGGGCGAUACGAGUAUUGCAUUGAAUGUACCGUAAGAAUAAGCAUCGGCUAACUCCGUGCCAGCAGCCGCGGUAAUACGGAGGAUGCGAGCGUUAUCCGGAUUUAUUGGGUUUAAAGGGUGCGUAGGUUGUUCGGUAAGUCAGCGGUGAAACCUGAGCGCUCAACGUUCAGCCUGCCGUUGGAACUGCCGGGCUUGAGUUCAGUGGCGGCAGGCGGAAUUCGUGGUGUAGCGGUGAAAUGCAUAGAUAUCACGAGGAACUCCGAUUGCGAAGGCAGCUUGCCAUACUGCGACUGACACUGAAGCACGAAGGCGUGGGUAUCAAACAGG
RNAcentral lists this ribosomal RNA (424 nucleotides) under Fusobacteriota bacterium. Its description in RNAcentral is "Fusobacteria bacterium partial 16S ribosomal RNA". It matches the Rfam family "Bacterial small subunit ribosomal RNA", at positions 355 to 776 of the family's 1533-position model. Lineage: Bacteria; Fusobacteriati; Fusobacteriota. The record is from RNAcentral.